Molecule: ribosomal RNA, 454 nt
Filed under: uncultured bacterium
Lineage: Bacteria
Description: partial 16S ribosomal RNA
Rfam family: Bacterial small subunit ribosomal RNA
Source: RNAcentral
GAUGAACGCUGACAGAAUGCUUAACACAUGCAAGUCAACUUGAACUUCGGUUUGGGUGGCGGACGGGUGAGUAACGCGUAAAGAACUUGCCUCACAGUUAGGGACAACAUUUGGAAACGAAUGCUAAUACCUGAUAUUAUGAUUUUAGGGCAUCCUAGAAUUAUGAAAGCUAUAUGCGCUGUGAGAGAGCUUUGCGUCCCAUUAGCUAGUUGGAGAGGUAACGGCUCACCAAGGCGAUGAUGGGUAGCCGGCCUGAGAGGGUGAACGGCCACAAGGGGACUGAGACACGGCCCUUACUCCUACGGGAGGCAGCAGUGGGGAAUAUUGGACAAUGGACCAAGAGUCUGAUCCAGCAAUUCUGUGUGCACGAUGAAGUUUUUCGGAAUGUAAAGUGCUUUCAGUUGGGAAGAAAAAAAUGACGAUACCAACAGAAGAAGUGACGGCUAAAUACGCG